This 1470-nucleotide ribosomal RNA is filed under the name metagenome. RNAcentral's name for it is "bacterial SSU rRNA". It matches the Rfam family "Bacterial small subunit ribosomal RNA". The record is from RNAcentral.
AGAGUUUGAUCCUGGCUCAGGACGAACGCUGGCGGCACGCUUAACACAUGCAAGUCGAACGAGAGAAGAGGAGCUUGCUUUUCUGAUCUAGUGGCGGACGGGUGAGUAACACGUGAGCAAUCUGCCUUUCAGAGGGGGAUACCGAUUGGAAACGAUCGUUAAUACCGCAUAACAUAAUUGAACCGCAUGAUUUGAUUAUCAAAGAUUUAUCGCUGAAAGAUGAGCUCGCGUCUGAUUAGCUAGUUGGUAAGGUAACGGCUUACCAAGGCGACGAUCAGUAGCCGGACUGAGAGGUUGAUCGGCCACAUUGGGACUGAGACACGGCCCAGACUCCUACGGGAGGCAGCAGUGGGGAAUAUUGCACAAUGGAGGAAACUCUGAUGCAGCGAUGCCGCGUGAGGGAAGAAGGUUUUAGGAUUGUAAACCUCUGUCUUCAGGGACGAAAAAAGACGGUACCUGAGGAGGAAGCUCCGGCUAACUACGUGCCAGCAGCCGCGGUAAUACGUAGGGAGCGAGCGUUGUCCGGAAUUACUGGGUGUAAAGGGAGCGUAGGCGGGAUCGCAAGUCAGAUGUGAAAACUAUGGGCUUAACCCAUAAACUGCAUUUGAAACUGCGGUUCUUGAGUGAAGUAGAGGUAAGCGGAAUUCCUAGUGUAGCGGUGAAAUGCGUAGAUAUUAGGAGGAACAUCAGUGGCGAAGGCGGCUUACUGGGCUUUAACUGACGCUGAGGCUCGAAAGCGUGGGGAGCAAACAGGAUUAGAUACCCUGGUAGUCCACGCCGUAAACGAUGAUUACUAGGUGUGGGGGGACUGACCCCUUCCGUGCCGCAGCAAACGCAAUAAGUAAUCCACCUGGGGAGUACGACCGCAAGGUUGAAACUCAAAGGAAUUGACGGGGGCCCGCACAAGCAGUGGAGUAUGUGGAUUAAUUCGAAGCAACGCGAAGAACCUUACCAGGUCUUGACAUCGUAUGCAUAGCUCAGAGAUGAGUGAAAUCUCUUCGGAGACAUAUAGACAGGUGGUGCAUGGUUGUCGUCAGCUCGUGUCGCGAGAUGUUGGGUUAAGUCCCGCAACGAGCGCAACCCUUACUGUUAGUUGCUACGCAAGAGCACUCUAGCAGGACUGCCGUUGACAAAACGGAGGAAGGUGGGGAUGACGUCAAAUCAUCAUGCCCCUUAUGACCUGGGCCUCACACGUACUACAAUGGCUGUCAACAGAGGGAAGCAAAGCCGCGAGGUGGAGCGAACCCCUAAAAGCAGUCUUAGUUCGGAUUGUAGGCUGCAACCCGCCUACAUGAAGUCGGAAUUGCUAGUAAUCGCAGAUCAGCAUGCUGCGGUGAAUACGUUCCCGGGCCUUGUACACACCGCCCGUCACGCCAUGGGAGUCGGUAACACCCGAAGCCUGUAGUCUAACCGCAAGGAGGACGCAGUCGAAGGUGGGAUUGAUGACUGGGGUGAAGUCGUAACAAGGUA